CCUGGUUGUCCUGGGUUUACUUUUCCGCCUCCUGGAUAGUCUCCUUUGCAUUGCCCUCCCCAUUCCUGACCUUCCCCCUACGUUUGCCUAGCGGAGGGAAUUGUCUAAUGAGCUUCCCCUCUCCCCAGCCGCACGCCCUGCCCCGUGAAUCUUGGGGAGCCUUGGGGAGGAGAGGUGCUCACCUCCCCUGGGUUGGCUCCUCCUGCCACUCUGGCCUCGGGCCCCUUCCUUCUCAUGCAUGUGGCCCCUUCUACCUUCAGAGUUUGGAGGUGUUGGCAGAGGUAUUGCAGGAAACUUGUAUGGGUCUGCGAGAGACGAUCCGUGUUGGCCUUCUUCUAAACGUAAAGCAUUGAGUUGCUGACUAGAGAAUGACGCAUAUUCCUAAGCGUUGGGAUGGUGACUACAGGAUAUCUCGUUGCCAACCCUAUUAGACAAAUAAGCCCUUCUGAUCCGUGGGACCAUCAGACAUGUAGGAUCUAAUUCUUGAAAGAGUUGCUGCGCUUGUUAAGUGUUGGAUGCCAUCUGUUCAAAUCCAAAUGCUCUUCUCUGACGUUGAUUAUUGUUACUUAAUGUGGGGGAGAACGGAGUAAAACAGAAUCUUCCAUUGGCUGCCUUUGGACAAGGCCCAAGAAUGGCACCUGGUACCGUUUUUGAUGUUUUCGUUUUUCUUGACGGAGCCAUCACAUCUGGGGGAAUCAUAGAUUGCACGUAUUUACCAAAUGUGUCGUUUGCCUUCCUUAUCCACUAUUAGUUUUAAAAUUGACCACCGCAUCAGUCUUCUGCAGCUGAGAAUGUGAGUUCCCCGUUAGUGUGGUGGAAAAGCACAUUUCAAUGAAAGAAUUGCAUUUUGAAGUGCCAAGUGAAAGCACACAUGCUGGGAACAUUAGAACCUAGCAAGACAGGUCAGAAAAUGAUGUCAGAGGCCUUUAAUGGAAAUUAGAGAUGGGGGAAGUGGUGAUGCCUUUUGUCGAUUAAUUAGAAUAGCAAUGAUUGGAAACCUACUGCGGGGGGAGUGUAUUUCACCAAACAAAACUGUAAGAGACAAAACCUGCACUGUGACAGCAUGUGGACUGUGCCAAGUCAAUGAACUGUUAAACUUUCCUGUUCCUGUGCCAGUUGUGUAGAAUAAAAACGGACCCGGCGUAGUACUGGCCUGAGUCAGAAGUGGGCCAGUGACUACUGACACCCCAGGAUGAAAGCUUCAUUGACAGUCGGAAGCCGCGCAUUGCCCCCACCCAACCUUUAUGGGCAAAAGUAAACAGAGGGAAAGCUA
Myotis lucifugus (little brown bat) is the source of this 1273-nucleotide long non-coding RNA. RefSeq lists it as uncharacterized. Lineage: Eukaryota; Metazoa; Chordata; Mammalia; Chiroptera; Vespertilionidae. The transcript has 2 exons. The record is from RefSeq and is a predicted model, not a curated record.